This 72-nucleotide transfer RNA is filed under the name Ictidomys tridecemlineatus (thirteen-lined ground squirrel). RNAcentral describes it as "Spermophilus tridecemlineatus (thirteen-lined ground squirrel) tRNA". It matches the Rfam family "tRNA". From Rfam's summary of the family: Transfer RNA (tRNA) molecules are approximately 80 nucleotides in length. Their secondary structure includes four short double-helical elements and three loops (D, anti-codon, and T loops). Lineage: Eukaryota; Metazoa; Chordata; Mammalia; Rodentia; Sciuridae. The record is from Rfam by way of RNAcentral.
GGGGAUGUAACAUAGUGGUAGAGUGUUUGUUUAGCAUGUGUGAGGCCCUGAGUUCAAUCCCCAGCAUUGCCA